CAUCCCUUUAGCAAACGGCGGUUGACCUACUUAUCAUGGAGGCUCUAGAUGUAAAGUCAACAGAGAGAUGAAUGCGAUCUGUAUUGGGGAUUACUGGGAAAGGCAUGCAAUAGUACAAUCCAGAGCACUGGUGAUAGGCUCUUGAAGGUUGGAUAGCUGAUUUUUGCCUUCCGCCAUCACCACAUCUAUAUCAUAAGGACGUAAAGGGUACCACUUAGACCACUGAUGAUAGGCUCUUGAAGGUUGGAUAGCUGAUCUUUGCCUUCUGCCAUCACCACAUCUAUAUCAUCAGGACGUAAAAGGUACCACUUAGACCACUGAUGAUAGGCUCUUGAAGGUUGGAUAGCUGAUCUUUGCCUUCUGCCAUCACCACAUCUAUAUCAUCAGAACGUAAAGGGUACCACUUAGACCACUGAUGAUAGGCUCUUGAAGGUUGGAUAGCUGAUCUUUGCCUUCUGCCAUCACC
Long non-coding RNA from Haliotis rufescens (red abalone), 466 nucleotides. RefSeq lists it as uncharacterized. NCBI's taxonomy places the organism in Eukaryota, Metazoa, Mollusca, Gastropoda, Lepetellida, Haliotidae. The transcript has 3 exons. The record is from RefSeq and is a predicted model, not a curated record.